UAGAACGAUAAGUAUAAAAGCUUUUCACAGUUUGAUUGACAAGGAUUUUUUUAUUCUCUUUGACUGCUUUCGUACUCACACCUUUCACUUGUAUAACAUUUGGAAUAUCCUCGCUUCGUGUAGACAAUGGUGGUAGGGACAAUGGUGGAAGGUUAAUGGACUGAAUCGGAUCAAACGCUUACGUGAAUCGUCAAUAUUUACGAGCACAAUAAAAGUUUCCAUUUAUAAAAAGGAAUUAGGAAGAAGGGUAAGCACCCCAAUAUCUGAUUGCUGUGAAGCUCUUUGCUUUACUAUCUUCUCGCGACAUACAGGUACUGAGAAGUAUCUGAAGCUUUGGGUUAAGGCAGUCAAAUAUUGAAUUCAUUCAAGUAUAUAAAUCAAUUUUAAAAUGAUGACAUGAUAUAUGCAUAUAUAAUGGCAAGGGAAGAUAAAUUCAGGAGAUAUUUAAAAAUUUGUUCGAAGAAUACGAAAGUUCCUACUCCCCAAAGAUUCGGAGUCAAUUUACGUACGUCCCCAAAUUCUUCACAUAAACAUUUACUUGCAUGAAAAACUGUCUUCAUAAGAGUGAUGGAGUUGGGAUUUCAAGGAUAAUAUGAAACUGAAACACUCUUGAGGAUAAA
This is a long non-coding RNA of Hermetia illucens (black soldier fly), 620 nucleotides long. RefSeq lists it as uncharacterized. Lineage: Eukaryota; Metazoa; Arthropoda; Insecta; Diptera; Stratiomyidae. The transcript has 3 exons. The record is from RefSeq and is a predicted model, not a curated record.